GACGAACGCUGGCGGCGUGCUUAACACAUGCAAGUCGAACGGAAAGGCCCUGCUUGUGUGGUCUGCUCGAUUGGCGAACGCGUGAGUAACACGUGAGUAACCUGCCCUUGACUUUGGGAUAACUUCAGGUAACUGGGGCUAAUACCGGAUAGGAGCUCCUGCUGCAGUGUGGGGGUUGGAAAGUUGCGGCGGUUGGGGAUGGACUCGCGGCUUAUGAGCUUGUUGGUGGGGUAGUGGCUUACCAAGGCUUUGACGGGUAGCCGGCAUGAGAGGGUGACCGGCGUCAUUGGGACUGAGAUACGGCGCAGACUGGUACGGGGGGCAGCAGUGGCAAAUAUUGCACAGUGGGCGCAAGCGUGAUGCAGAAACGCUGGGGGCGGGAUGACGGUCUUUGGGUUGUAAACAGCUUUAGCCUGUGACGAAGCGUGAGUGACGGUAAUGAGUAAAGAAGCACCGGCUAACUACGUG
RNAcentral lists this ribosomal RNA (468 nucleotides) under uncultured bacterium. RNAcentral describes it as "partial 16S ribosomal RNA". It matches the Rfam family "Bacterial small subunit ribosomal RNA", at positions 28 to 507 of the family's 1533-position model. The record is from RNAcentral.